RNAcentral lists this ribosomal RNA (442 nucleotides) under uncultured bacterium. Its description in RNAcentral is "partial 16S ribosomal RNA". It matches the Rfam family "Bacterial small subunit ribosomal RNA", at positions 338 to 795 of the family's 1533-position model. The record is from RNAcentral.
CCUACGGGUGGCAGCAGUGGGGAAUAUUCGGCAAUGAACGCAAGUCUGACCGAGCAACGCCGCGUGAAGGAAGAAGGCUUUCGGGUUGUAAACUUCUUUUAAGGGGGAAGAGCAGAAGACGGUACCCCUUGAAUAAGCCACGGCUAACUAUGUGCCAGCAGCAGCGGUAAUACGUAGGUGGCAAACGCUGUCCGGCUUUACUGGGGGUAAAGGGCGUGCAGCGGGGAAGACAAGGCAGGGGUGAACUCCCGCGGCUCAACCGCGGAACUGCAUUUGAAACUGUUUAUCUUGAGUAUCGGAGAGGUAAGCGGAAUUCCUAGUGUAGCGGUGAAAUGCGUAGAUAUUAGGAAGAACACCAGUGGCGAAGGCGGAUUACUGGACGACAACUGACGGUGAGGCGCGAAAGCGUGGGGAGCAAACAGGAUUAGAUACCCCUGUAGUC